GUCCACGCCGUAAACGAUGUCUACUAGUUGUUGGGAGACUUGAUCUCUUAGUAACGAAGCUAACGCGAUAAGUAGACCGCCUGGGGAGUACGGCCGCAAGGUUAAAACUCAAAUGAAUUGACGGGGGCCCGCACAAGCGGUGGAGCAUGUGGUUUAAUUCGAAGCAACGCGAAGAACCUUACCUACUCUUGACAUCCUGCGAACUUGGUAGAGAUACCUUGGUGCCUUCGGGAACGCAGUGACAGGUGCUGCAUGGCU
This 258-nucleotide ribosomal RNA is filed under the name uncultured bacterium. RNAcentral's name for it is "partial 16S ribosomal RNA". It matches the Rfam family "Bacterial small subunit ribosomal RNA", at positions 793 to 1050 of the family's 1533-position model. The record is from RNAcentral.